This 549-nucleotide ribosomal RNA is filed under the name uncultured Dactylosporangium sp. RNAcentral's name for it is "bacterial SSU rRNA". It matches the Rfam family "Bacterial small subunit ribosomal RNA", at positions 575 to 1124 of the family's 1533-position model. Lineage: Bacteria; Bacillati; Actinomycetota; Actinomycetes; Micromonosporales; Micromonosporaceae. The record is from RNAcentral.
GCGGCUUGUUGCGUCAGCUGUGAAAGCCCAUGGCUUAACUGUGGGUUGGCAGCUGAUACGGGCAGGCUAGAGUUCGGUAUGGGAGACUGGAAUUCCUGGUGUAGCGGUGAAAUGCGCAGAUAUCAGGAGGAACACCGGUGGCGAAGGCGGGUCUCUGGGCCGAUACUGACGCUGAGGAGCGAAAGCGUGGGGAGCGAACAGGAUUAGAUACCCUGGUAGUCCACGCUGUAAACGUUGGGCGCUAGGUGUGGGGGGCCUCUCCGGUUUCCUGUGCCGUAGCUAACGCAUUAAGCGCCCCGCCUGGGGAGUACGGCCGCAAGGCUAAAACUCAAAGGAAUUGACGGGGGCCCGCACAAGCGGCGGAGCAUGCGGAUUAAUUCGAUGCGACGCGAAGAACCUUACCUGGGUUUGACAUGGCCGUUAAAGCCGCAGAGACGUGGUGUCCUUCGGGGGCGGUCACAGGUGGUGCAUGGCUGUCGUCAGCUCGUGUCGUGAGAUGCUGGGUUAAGUCCCGCAACGAGCGCAACCCUUGUUCGAUGUUGCCAGCGG